AAGUCGUAACAAGGUUUCCGUAGGUGAACCUGCGGAAGGAUCAUUAUUGAAUAAAUCUGACAUGGUUGUAGCUGGCUCUUCGGGGCAUGUGCUCGCCUGUCACCUUUAUCUUUCCACCUGUGCACACACUGUAGUCCUGGAUACCUCUCGCCGCAAGGCGGAUACAGAGACUGCUGUUCAACCUCCGAAAGGGGGAGGUCGGCUAUCUCUGAAUUUCCAGGUCUACGAUUAUCACACACCCCAAUUGAAUGUUACAGAAUGUUAUCAAAGGGCCUUGUGCCUAUAAAUCUAUACAACUUUCAGCAACGGAUCUCUUGGCUCUC
Molecule: unclassified non-coding RNA, 323 nt
Filed under: air metagenome
Description: partial contains small subunit ribosomal RNA, internal transcribed spacer 1, and 5.8S ribosomal RNA
Rfam family: Eukaryotic small subunit ribosomal RNA (bases 1-46)
Source: RNAcentral